AACGUAGGACGCAAGCGUUAUCCGGAGUUACUGGGCGUGAAGCGCGGGCAGGCGGUCUUGCCAGUCUGAUGUGAAAUCUCCCCGCUCAACGGGGAGCAGCCAUUGGAAACUACAAGACUGGAGUCUGACAGAGGUAGGCGGAAUUCCGGGUGGAGUGGUGAAAUGCGUAGAGAUCCGGAGGAACACCAGAGGCGAAGGCGGCCUACUGGGUCAGUACUGACGCUGAGCCGCGAAAGCCAGGGGAGCGAACGGG
RNAcentral lists this ribosomal RNA (253 nucleotides) under uncultured bacterium. Its description in RNAcentral is "partial 16S ribosomal RNA". It matches the Rfam family "Bacterial small subunit ribosomal RNA", at positions 524 to 776 of the family's 1533-position model. The record is from RNAcentral.